This is a long non-coding RNA of Cyprinodon variegatus (sheepshead minnow), 528 nucleotides long. RefSeq lists it as uncharacterized. The transcript is spliced from 3 exons. The record is from RefSeq and is a predicted model, not a curated record. NCBI's taxonomy places the organism in Eukaryota, Metazoa, Chordata, Actinopteri, Cyprinodontiformes, Cyprinodontidae.
GUCAGUGUGUUUACCAAAACCGGCCUGACAGCUACAGGAAGUACUCCCAUUUGCUCAUCUUUGGACUCUUUUUGAAGGGAUCUGUUGGUGAUGCACUGAUGGGAGAGAACCGGCUGUCCCACAGUGGAAUGUCUGAACAUCGUGGCUGCUCUGUUUCUGCCUGGGAACUGAACUUUGGACUCUUAGCUUCCCCUCUUAUCCUGCUAGCCGCUUUAGCUUGCUGAGGAAGGCAGCAUUAGCUCCAGAAAGACUCAUUCCGUGUUUGAAUCCAGCUCCUCACCGAAGAGAAGCAGCAUGGUCGACAAAAACAUCUACAUUGUCCAAGGAGAAAUAACCACGGUUGUUGGAGCCAUUAAGAGAAACUCCCGAUGGAAUAACCACACGUCGCUGGAUGAAGAACAGGACCCGUUACUGAACAGCUUCGGCCAUCUUAAGGAGCAUCUCAACAACAUUAAAGGUGAGCUGGUGUCAUUGUUUCACCAUCUAUUCUGUCAGGGAGUGAACUAUGAUGUUUUAGGGCCGGGCGAU